RNAcentral lists this ribosomal RNA (590 nucleotides) under Pseudomonas sp. Its description in RNAcentral is "bacterial SSU rRNA". It matches the Rfam family "Bacterial small subunit ribosomal RNA", at positions 91 to 681 of the family's 1533-position model. Lineage: Bacteria; Pseudomonadati; Pseudomonadota; Gammaproteobacteria; Pseudomonadales; Pseudomonadaceae. The record is from RNAcentral.
UUUUUGGGGGGGGGGGGGAGUCCUAGGAAUCUGCCUGGUAGUGGGGGACAACGUUUCGAAAGGAACGCUAAUACCGCAUACGUCCUACGGGAGAAAGCAGGGGACCUUCGGGCCUUGCGCUAUCAGAUGAGCCUAGGUCGGAUUAGCUAGUUGGUGAGGUAAUGGCUCACCAAGGCGACGAUCCGUAACUGGUCUGAGAGGAUGAUCAGUCACACUGGAACUGAGACACGGUCCAGACUCCUACGGGAGGCAGCAGUGGGGAAUAUUGGACAAUGGGCGAAAGCCUGAUCCAGCCAUGCCGCGUGUGUGAAGAAGGUCUUCGGAUUGUAAAGCACUUUAAGUUGGGAGGAAGGGCAGUAAGUUAAUACCUUGCUGUUUUGACGUUACCGACAGAAUAAGCACCGGCUAACUCUGUGCCAGCAGCCGCGGUAAUACAGAGGGUGCAAGCGUUAAUCGGAAUUACUGGGCGUAAAGCGCGCGUAGGUGGUUCGUUAAGUUGGAUGUGAAAGCCCCGGGCUCAACCUGGGAACUGCAUCCAAAACUGGCGAGCUAGAGUACGGUAGAGGGUGGUGGAAUUCCUGGCGACCUGC